RNAcentral lists this long non-coding RNA (1416 nucleotides) under Homo sapiens (human). RNAcentral's name for it is "PREDICTED lncRNA (TCONS_00085188)". The record is from RNAcentral. Lineage: Eukaryota; Metazoa; Chordata; Mammalia; Primates; Hominidae.
AGUUGCAAAGCUUCCGGUUCUGGGGGAAGGCGUGGCUUCCGCGCUCUUUGAAAUGUCCGGCGCCGGAAUGUCUGGGUGCUUUGGUUGGAGAGGGUCCCAUUUCCAGUCAUUCUUCAGCCUGGUGAUUCCCGCGCUCCCCUGAGGAGCAUAUGAAGUACGUCGGUUCUGCCAGGUUGGAACGCGCUGCUGGACACUCGGCCGUAAGGCGGAUCCCGGAUCCCCUCCCACUCCGACCCUUCCCUCCAGAAGGGCCGGUUCCCAAACGGCCCCUUUAGACACAUCCAAGCGGUUGCCGACGGCCCUCACGAUGAAAACUGCUGUCCGUUGGUGAAGGCAGCCUCUUCUGUGCUCCUCGCCGCUGACUUCCUGAGGCGGACCUACCUGUGGAGGCAUACCAGGAACCAGACGAUGACCCCCUCCAAAAGUUGGGUCUUUGAGGAGAGCUACUAACUUGGGUUCCUGGUACACCCUCUACAUGCAGUGGUGAAGCUUAUCUAACAGUCAUUCAUAGAAUCAGUUUGGGAAGGGGAAUUUUCACUGAACUCUCAUAGAGAAACUGUGUUUUAGAUAACAGAAAGUUCUGCACGGUUAAAAUGGAACAGAAAUUUUUUUGCACAGAAAUUAGGAUUACCGAAAAUACUGAAGAAAGACUACCUCUGAUUGGACUCUUCUCAAGGAAUUAAUAAUUCAAGAACUAAGGAAAGAAAAAAGUGAUUAUAUGAAAAUACUGAAGUUGAUCGUAGCAGCUGAAGGCUGAUCCUGUGUGGGUAAAUGUAAACGCUGAAUUCCCACAUUCCAAUGUGCGACCUGGGAUUAAGGCAGCAAUUGAGCAGGGCUGAAGUACAUUGGUGCAAUCUUGGCUCACUGCAUCUCCACCCCAGGUUCAAGCGAUUCUCCUGCCUCAGCCUCCCAAGCAGCUGGGAUUACAGGUUUUGCCUUUUCCAGAAUGUCACAUAAAUGGAAUCAUACUGUGUCCGGAAUUGGUGGGUUCUUGGUCUCACUGACUUCAAGAAUGACGCCAUGGGCCCUCGCGGUGAGUGUUACAGCUCUUAAGGUGGCGCGUCUGGAGUUUGUUCCUUCUGAUGUUCGGAUGUGUUCGGAGUUUCUUCCUUCUGGUGGGUUCGUGGUCUCGCUGGCUCAGGAGUGAAGCUGCAGACUUUCGCGAUUUCAUCUCUCUCUCUGCUAUGGACACAGAUGGCUUCACUCCAUCCUGUAUUCUUCGGACCAUGAUAAAAUUCCAGACUCUCGGUAGUUUUUGCGUUCCAAGAAGUAGAGCCUAGAGUGGUGGCCUAUAAUUACAGUUACUCAGGAGGCUGAGGCAGGAGGAUCCUUUGAGUCCAGCAGUUUGAGGCCAGCCUGGACACCACAGCAAGACCACCAAUAAAUAAAUAAAUAAAUGGAACAUGUUUCCCUGUC